Molecule: ribosomal RNA, 577 nt
Filed under: uncultured fungus
Lineage: Eukaryota; Fungi
Description: eukaryotic LSU rRNA
Rfam family: 5.8S ribosomal RNA (bases 179-332)
Source: RNAcentral
CAUUAAUGAUAUAUGAACUUUCAAUUCAUAAAUCCAACCUGCGUACCUGUCCUUGUUGCUUCCGUAAGUUUGAUGACUUUGGUCGUCAUUCCUCAUUCCAGAGGGAGCUUGCGGGAGGAUUUGUUCAAUUCGUGCUUUAUCUGAGUAGUCUGAAGCUUUUGCAUUUGCAAAUCGUUAAAACUUUCAACAACGGAUCUCUUGGUUCUCGCAUCGAUGAAGAGCGCAGCGAAAUGCGAUAAGUAGUGUGAAUUGCAGAAUUCCGUGAAUCAUCGAGUUCUUGAACGCAUAUUGCGCCCCUUGGUAUUCCAAAGGGCAUGCCUGUUCGAGUGUUAUUAAAUCCCCUCAGGUUUGGAUUAUUCCACUCCCUGGUGUUGAGUUCGGAGCACGAAUGCACUGUUCCUACUCGAAAUAGAACGGCGCAAAAGGAUUGUCAAUUCUGUGUAAUAAGUUUUCCAAUUCUCAAAUUGAUCCAUCUGUCUUGCGGUUCCAAUAUGCACACGCUCCUCGUACCUAUAACCUCGAAUCAGGUAAGGAUACCCGCUGAACUUAAGCAUAUCCUUUUGCGCCGUUCUAUUUC